This 497-nucleotide ribosomal RNA is filed under the name uncultured bacterium. RNAcentral describes it as "partial 16S ribosomal RNA". It matches the Rfam family "Bacterial small subunit ribosomal RNA", at positions 28 to 507 of the family's 1533-position model. The record is from RNAcentral.
GAUGAACGCUGGCGGCGUGCCUAAUACAUGCAAGUCGAGCGAACGGACGAGAAGCUUGCUUCUCUGAUGUUAGCGGCGGACGGGUGAGUAACACGUGGAUAACCUACCUAUAAGACUGGGAUAACUUCGGGAAACCGGAGCUAAUACCGGAUAAUAUUUUGAACCGCAUGGUUCAAAAGUGAAAGACGGUCUUGCUGUCACUUAUAGAUGGAUCCGCGCUGCAUUAGCUAGUUGGUAAGGUAACGGCUUACCAAGGCAACGAUGCAUAGCCGACCUGAGAGGGUGAUCGGCCACACUGGAACUGAGACACGGUCCAGACUCCUACGGGAGGCAGCAGUAGGGAAUCUUCCGCAAAGGGCGAAAGCCUGACGGAGCAACGCCGCGUGAGUGAUGAAGGUCUUCGGAUCGUAAAACUCUGUUAUUAGGGAAGAACAUAUGUGUAAGUAACUGUGCACAUCUUGACGGUACCUAAUCAGAAAGCCCCGGCUAACUACGUG